AAGAUAAAUCUGGUGUUGAACUUAGGCCGCUAACCUAAAUUUGAGUAGUUCAAAUCUAUUCUUAUCUUU
Molecule: transfer RNA, 69 nt
Filed under: Magelona mirabilis
Lineage: Eukaryota; Metazoa; Annelida; Polychaeta; Spionida; Magelonidae
Description: tRNA-Ser
Source: RNAcentral